RNAcentral lists this ribosomal RNA (253 nucleotides) under uncultured bacterium. Its description in RNAcentral is "partial 16S ribosomal RNA". It matches the Rfam family "Bacterial small subunit ribosomal RNA", at positions 524 to 776 of the family's 1533-position model. The record is from RNAcentral.
UACGAAGGGUGCAAGCGUUACUCGGAAUUACUGGGCGUAAAGCGUGCGUAGGUGGUUUGUUAAGUCUGUUGUGAAAGCCCUGGGCUCAACCUGGGAAUUGCAUUGGAUACUGGCAGGCUAGAGUGCGGUAGAGGGUAGUGGAAUUCCCGGUGUAGCAGUGAAAUGCGUAGAGAUCGGGAGGAACACCAGUGGCGAAGGCGACUACCUGGACCAGCACUGACACUGAGGCACGAAAGCGUGGGGAGCAAACAGG